Molecule: unclassified non-coding RNA, 304 nt
Filed under: plant metagenome
Description: partial contains 5.8S ribosomal RNA, internal transcribed spacer 2, and large subunit ribosomal RNA
Rfam family: 5.8S ribosomal RNA (bases 1-105)
Source: RNAcentral
GAAAUGCGAUAAGUAGUGUGAAUUGCAGAAUUCAGUGAAUCAUCGAAUCUUUGAACGCACAUUGCGCCCCUUGGUAUUCCAUGGGGCAUACCUGUUCGAGCGUCAUUUGUACCUUCAAGCUUUGCUUGGUGUUGGGUGUUUGUCUCGCCUCCGCGCGUAGACUCGCCUCAAAACAAUUGGCAGCCGGCGUAUUGUUUUCGGAGCGCAGUACAUCUCGCGCUUUGCACUCAUAACGACGACGUCCAAAAGUACAUUUUUACACUCUUGACCUCGGAUCAGGUAGGGAUACCCGCUGAACUUAAGC